GAUAAACGCUGGCGGCGUGCCUUAUGCAUGCAAGUCGAACGGUCCCGAUUUAUCGGGAUAGUGGCGAACGGGUGAGUAACGCGUAAGUAACCUGCCCUCAAGUAGGGGAUAACUCUGAGAAAUUGGAGCUAAUACCUUAUGUGGUGAUGGAGCUAGUGCUUCAUCAUUAAAGCCUUAGGGUGCUUGAGGAGGGGCUUGCGUCCGAUUAGCUGGUUGGUAGGGUAAUGGCUUACCAAGGCGAUGAUCGGUAGCUGGUUUGAGAGGAUGAUCAGUCACACUGGGAUUGAGAUACGGCCCAGACUCCUACGGGAGGCAGCAGCAAGGAAUAUUGUGCAAUGGGCGAAAGCCUGACACAGCGACGUCGCGUGGGGGAUGAAGGCUUUCGGGUUGUAAACCCCUUUUCUCAGGGAAGAAUAAUGACGGUACCUGAGGAAUAAGUCACGGCUAACUACGUG
Molecule: ribosomal RNA, 455 nt
Filed under: uncultured bacterium
Lineage: Bacteria
Description: bacterial SSU rRNA
Rfam family: Bacterial small subunit ribosomal RNA
Source: RNAcentral